RNAcentral lists this ribosomal RNA (253 nucleotides) under uncultured bacterium. Its description in RNAcentral is "partial 16S ribosomal RNA". It matches the Rfam family "Bacterial small subunit ribosomal RNA", at positions 524 to 776 of the family's 1533-position model. The record is from RNAcentral.
UACGUAGGGUGCAAGCGUUGUCCGGAUUUACUGGGCGUAAAGGGCGUGCAGGCGGUCUGUUAAGUCUAGGGUGAAAGCUCCCGGCUCAACUGGGAGAGGUCCUUGGAUACUGGCGGACUUGAGGGAUGCAGAGGAAAGUGGAAUUCCCGGUGUAGUGGUGAUAUGCGUAGAUAUCGGAAGGAACAUCAGUGGCGAAAGCGGCUUCCUGGUCCAGCACCGACGUUCAGGCACGAAAGCGUGGGGAGCAAACAGG